This 62-nucleotide transfer RNA is filed under the name Ictidomys tridecemlineatus (thirteen-lined ground squirrel). RNAcentral's name for it is "Spermophilus tridecemlineatus (thirteen-lined ground squirrel) tRNA". It matches the Rfam family "tRNA", at positions 6 to 65 of the family's 71-position model. Rfam says of the family: Transfer RNA (tRNA) molecules are approximately 80 nucleotides in length. Their secondary structure includes four short double-helical elements and three loops (D, anti-codon, and T loops). Further hydrogen bonds mediate the characteristic L-shaped molecular structure. tRNAs have two regions of fundamental functional importance: the anti-codon, which is responsible for specific mRNA codon recognition, and the 3' end, to which the tRNAs corresponding amino acid is attached (by aminoacyl-tRNA synthetases). tRNAs cope with the degeneracy of the genetic code in two manners: having more than one tRNA (with a specific anti-codon) for a particular amino acid; and 'wobble' base-pairing, i.e. permitting non-standard base-pairing at the 3rd anti-codon position. The record is from Rfam by way of RNAcentral. Lineage: Eukaryota; Metazoa; Chordata; Mammalia; Rodentia; Sciuridae.
UGUAGCUCAGUUGGUAGAGCAUUUGCCUUGAAUGCACAAGGCCCUGGGUUUGAUCCCCAGCA